CCCUUAGAUGUUCUGGGCCGCACGCGCGCUACACUGAUGCAUUCAACGAGCCUAGCCUUGACCGAGAGGUCCGGGUAAUCUUUGAAACUGCAUCGUGAUGGGGCUAGAUUAUUGCAAUUAUUAAUCUUCAACGAGGAAUGCCUAGUAAGCGUGAUUCAUCAAAUCGCGUUGAUUACGUCCCUGCCCUUUGUACACACCGCCCGUCGCUCCUACCGAUUGAAUGAUCCGAUGAAUAUCAUGGAUUGAGGAUGCAAGUAGGUUCGCCUAUCUUCAUCUUCGAGAAGUGAAGUAAAUCUUAUCAUUUAGAGGAAGGAGAAGUCGUAACA
Molecule: ribosomal RNA, 326 nt
Filed under: uncultured eukaryote
Lineage: Eukaryota
Description: partial 18S ribosomal RNA
Rfam family: Eukaryotic small subunit ribosomal RNA
Source: RNAcentral